GUGGGGAAUAUUGGACAAUGGGGGAAACCCUGAUCCAGCAAUGCCGCGUGAGUGAUGAAGGCCUUAGGGUUGUAACGCUCUUUUACCCGGGAUGAUAAUGACAGUACCGGGAGAAUAAGCCCCGGCUAACUCCGUCCCAGCAGCCGCGGUAAUACGGAGGGAGCUAGCGUUGUUCGGAAUUACUGGGCGUAAAGCGCACGUAGGCGGCUAUUCAAGUCAGAGGUGAAAGCCCGGGGCUCAACCCCGGAAUUGCCUUUGAAACUAGAUAGCUAGAAUCUGGGAGAGGUGAGUGGAAUUCCGAGUGUAGAGGUGAAAUUCGUAGAUAUUCGGAAGAACACCAGUGGCGAAGGCGGCUCACUGGACCAGAAUUGACGCUGAGGUGCGAAAGCGUGGGGAGCAAA
Molecule: ribosomal RNA, 401 nt
Filed under: uncultured bacterium
Lineage: Bacteria
Description: bacterial SSU rRNA
Rfam family: Bacterial small subunit ribosomal RNA
Source: RNAcentral